AGGGCAGCCCAGGCCCGCGCAGGCCCCGCGAAUCUCCGCGCGCCCCGGCCCCCCCGCCCCCCACGCCCCAGGCAGGCCCCGAGGGAUUGGCUCCCCGGGCCGACGGAAAACUUAGGAAGGCAGCCCCGGGCCGGGUGCAGGAGAGCAGAGCAGAAAUCCUUUGGAAUCUUGGAACCUAUUUCCAAAGCUUUAUAAUGCACACCAAAAAAAAUCUGACACUAAAGGGUUUGAUAUGAUUAGCUGAAGAACCUGCUUGGAACGGCUCCCUUCCACAUAGUAAGACUAAGUGUGAUCUUGUUCUUGCUUUAAUGAAGAAAUAGCAUGAUAAUGCAGCAAACACAAAAAGCACAUAGUGUUUUUCAGUAUCACCCUUGCAAAAAUCAAUUUUUUUCCUAGUUCUUAUACAUACAGCAUAAAUUGCACAGAAAUGUCAUGAUGGUAUAGGUACUGUUCUGAAUCUUGCUUUUUACUUUUAAUCACAGGCCUAUCAUUUUUUUCCCAUAUUGCCACAUAAUUUUAAAAAUUUUACUUUUUAAUGGCUGUAUAAUAAUUUAAUGGGUAUAUUAUACGAAAGCAUUUGGCUAUCAUUGGAAAUUUUAGUUGUUACUUAUACAGCAAUGAAUGUCAAUGCAAAUAGCCUUUCCUUUAUUAUUCCAUGAUGAUGCAUUCUGAUGUUUGGGAUUCCUAGGUCAAAGAAUAAGGAAAUUUAAAGGAUCAUAAUAUGAAUUGCUAAAUAACUUCCCAAAAUAUUGUGCUGAUUUGCAAUAUCAGCAACAAUGUGCAUUAGCUUCACUGGAUUAUGCCAGCACUGAACAUUGUUUUUGGAAUUUUAUUGGCUGACUUUAUAGGUAUGAAAUAUUGCUUCACUGUUUUAACAUAAAUUUAAUUGAUGAUUAGUGUGGUCGAAUAGUUCUCUAUGUGUUUACUUCUAAGUCAGAUUUUUUUUCUUAUCAGUUGAUGCUCCUAGCCUUUGCCUGUUUAUAUGUUAAGAUCUUAAAACAGUUACUUUCUAAAAAAUUUCCUGCAAUGGUUUAAAUGAUUUUUAAAUUUCUAUCUUAAAAGGAAAUUCACAUUUCUGAUGAGUCAUUCACUAAGUUCUAAGACUAUCAUGAUCAUCUGUCAGUAUUGCCAGAUCAACUUAUAUUAAAAAGAUAUUCUAAGGGAAAAAAGAUACUAGAAAACCCCUUUCUGUGUAAAUAUGCAUAUGCACUCUAUUUACCUCAGGUCCUAAGUAUGCGAUGUAUAAAGAAAAAGUGAGGUAAAACUAUUUUGAAUUGCAGCCCUAAGCACUCUGUUUUCAUGUUAUGAAAAGCCAUGAUAUAGUAGAAGAAACUUUCAAAGAUUUUAUAAAGCAUUUAGUACGUGAUUUUUGAAAUGGAUAUUGAAGAACUAUGGUGCUAUUUAUAUAUUUAUAUAAUUUAUCUUCAAGGGAUUGGUUAAUUUAUAUAAUAGAGUACUUCUAAUUCAAAAAGUUAAGACCUAUCUCUCCCCUCCUGGUUCACUCCCAACUUUAUAACUUUG
This 1521-nucleotide long non-coding RNA is filed under the name Sus scrofa (pig). Its description in RNAcentral is "lncRNA (ENSSSCG00060047952.1)". The record is from RNAcentral. Lineage: Eukaryota; Metazoa; Chordata; Mammalia; Artiodactyla; Suidae.